RNAcentral lists this non-coding RNA (132 nucleotides) under Burkholderia sp. D7. The record is from RNAcentral. Lineage: Bacteria; Pseudomonadati; Pseudomonadota; Betaproteobacteria; Burkholderiales; Burkholderiaceae.
CCACCCGUGUCACCGGGUGAAUCAAGGAGUCUGAAUCAAGAGCGACUCUGACAAUGCAGCGAAGCACCGCAAGGUGCGGGGUAUCAAUCGUGAGAAGCAUACCCUUCUGGCAGCCACAGGCCGGAUGAGCGC